This 253-nucleotide ribosomal RNA is filed under the name uncultured bacterium. RNAcentral's name for it is "partial 16S ribosomal RNA". It matches the Rfam family "Bacterial small subunit ribosomal RNA", at positions 524 to 776 of the family's 1533-position model. The record is from RNAcentral.
UACGUAGGGUGCGAGCGUUAAUCGGAAUUACUGGGCGUAAAGCGUGCGCAGGCGGUUUUGUAAGCCAGAUGUGAAAUCCCCGGGCUUAACCUGGGAAUGGCAUUUGGGACUGCAAGGCUUGAGUGCGGCAGAGGAGACUGGAAUUCCUGGUGUAGCAGUGAAAUGCGUAGAUAUGUGGAGGAAUACCGAUGGCGAAGGCAGCCCCCUGGGAUAACACUGACGCUCAUGCACGAAAGCGUGGGGAGCAAACAGG